AUCUUGAUGUGCCCUAAGUCUAUUUAACCUC
Molecule: non-coding RNA, 31 nt
Filed under: Rattus norvegicus (Norway rat)
Lineage: Eukaryota; Metazoa; Chordata; Mammalia; Rodentia; Muridae
Source: RNAcentral